GUCCCUUCCAGCACUACGAUUCUAGGAUUCUAUGCUUUUAAGGUCCCGUCUGCAGGUGCACCAAAACCCAUCAUCCUGUUUUGCAAGAAUCUCAGCACCAGGAGACUUGCUGGAAACCAACUAGACGUAGAAUCAUAGAACUGCGCAGUUGGCAGGGAC
This is a non-coding RNA of Podarcis lilfordi (Lilford's wall lizard), 159 nucleotides long. The record is from the annotation of a GenBank genome assembly. NCBI's taxonomy places the organism in Eukaryota, Metazoa, Chordata, Lepidosauria, Squamata, Lacertidae.